UCUUAACCCAUUCUGCUAGGUUUGCUAUUCUUAUCUAGUUGACAUGUUUCUGUGAUUUCUUUUCUGAUGUCUGAUUCAGACUUCAUAUAAUUGGUGCUUCGUGUAAUCAAUUUGGAAAUUUUAAUCUUAGCACUUUUGAGUAAAACAUUACCUUAAGAGUGAAAACAUGUAAUUAAUUUCUGUACAUUUCUUGUGACAUCUUGGAAAGAUUGCAUCAGGAAAAAUCUAUGGCCGAUCCAUUUGCAUAUGAAGCUUAUAGGAAGAUCAAGAAACGCAUACAAGAAAAGAUUGAGGCUGAGCGUACUAAUCGUAUAAUGGUGUAGGAGGGAGAUCAGCUGACAUUGGGUCAAUUGGCCUCUUGACGCGGAGAUCCCUAGCUCUUCGAGGACACCUAUGAUGAGGCGUCGACUACUUAGGAGGACACAUCUUGAAUAAGGGCACAAUUAUCACACUUGUAAGAGGACUUAUAGGAGGAAGCCCAUGCCUAAGGAGGGAGGAUGUUAGAUCCCUCCUUUAGUUACAUUAUAGUUAUAUUAUUUGAGUGAGAUGGUGUAUUAUGUCUUGAUUUAUAGACUAUUUCAUGGUUAUUGUUAUGAACCCUUUUAUAUCAUGGUUUAGACAUUAUGAGGAUAGGUCGUUACUUCUUAGUACUUUGCUCCUUACUUAUGCUGUUCAUGUGAUCUCAUGGUUUUACAUUAUCAAUGAUGGAUAAUAUUUGACAUGCAUAGUUCUUGUGACGUGAGUUUUUUGA
This is a long non-coding RNA of Cryptomeria japonica (Japanese cedar), 751 nucleotides long. RefSeq lists it as uncharacterized. The record is from RefSeq and is a predicted model, not a curated record. NCBI's taxonomy places the organism in Eukaryota, Viridiplantae, Streptophyta, Pinopsida, Cupressales, Cupressaceae. The transcript is spliced from 2 exons.